GGGCCCGUGGUCUAGUUGGUUAUGACGUCGCCUUUACGAGGCGAAGGUCAUGCGUUCGAAUCGCAUCGGGCCCA
Molecule: transfer RNA, 74 nt
Filed under: Methanobacteriota archaeon
Lineage: Archaea; Methanobacteriati; Methanobacteriota
Also listed under: 5 other names
Description: Euryarchaeota archaeon tRNA-Val
Rfam family: tRNA
About the family: Transfer RNA (tRNA) molecules are approximately 80 nucleotides in length.
Source: RNAcentral